Long non-coding RNA from Thunnus maccoyii (southern bluefin tuna), 891 nucleotides. RefSeq lists it as uncharacterized. NCBI's taxonomy places the organism in Eukaryota, Metazoa, Chordata, Actinopteri, Scombriformes, Scombridae. The record is from RefSeq and is a predicted model, not a curated record. The transcript is spliced from 2 exons.
GUUUUUCAUCAAACAACAGCAGUCGCACCUGUCAAUGUUCAACCUGUUUACAGCUUCUGCAUGGAGUUUCCAGCGGAGGGAAAGCAGCUGACCCUGUAAGAACACAGGGCUUGUGGAAAAUGUUGGUAAUUCCAAUACUGUAGAUACCUCAGGAGACUUGGCACGACUUGAUUCAUCCGCCGGGAUCCAGCAGAGAGCAGUAGAACAUAAAAACACUUGAGAUACAGCGAGAGUUGUCAUGGCGAUCCACAACCACCAUAACAAUCUCUGACAUACUUCCUCCUUCAGUUAUUCUCUUCUUAUUCUCUCUCUAUCUGACCCCUUACUUUCCUAAAUGACUUUCAAUCUUAUUGUUUAGCACUUUCUUUCUUCCACUUUUCCUUUCCCUCAUUCUCUUUCUUUGUUUUUUGCUCCUCUCUUACACUCCUUAACUUCCUCUAACCCUUUUAAGAAACCCAGAUGAAAAGGCAACGUGCUUUCCAAUUUCCAUCCUUUAAUGUUUUUUUUUCUGGGAUUGUUCCAAUCAUGUGGGAGAGCCCCUUUCCCUGCUGCCUUUUCCCAGCACAGGUGCCUGCUGCAGUGGCUCUCGUAAGCUGUCUGCAAAUGACAUUGGUUCUCCUCUGUUGGUCACAUCCUGUGUCCCGGAUAUGAUACUGCCAUGAGUCUCUGUAUCCCUAAUGGAAACACGUCUGGCUUUGGCCUACAUGAUGUCCAGUUGUGGGAAGAUGGCGCUGAAAGCAUUUCUACAGAAAUAAUGAGUGUCCAACAAGUUUGCUCUCUGCGAGUGAAGUGAGGUCACAGCCAAAAGGUGAGACAUUUUAAGAAGUUCUUCAAAGAGAAAGUAUGUUUGAUUUUUUACAGCUAGAGAUUAAAGAUCGCCCCCCCUUGUCA